RNAcentral lists this long non-coding RNA (303 nucleotides) under Paramuricea clavata. Lineage: Eukaryota; Metazoa; Cnidaria; Anthozoa; Malacalcyonacea; Plexauridae. The record is from RNAcentral.
AUUUUAAUUGUCAAGGGGAGAGCACGGGCACUUGGGUUAAUAAUAUUAAUAGAAUCACUGAGCAUAACUAGAUUAAUUUGCAGAUUGUGUAAAAAUCCAGGGAUGGAUUUACUGCAGACGGUGGGUAAAUGAGAUACAGCAGUUUAAGUACCAGUAAUGACAUGAUGAUAAGCGAACUGUGAACAACAACUUAGAUUUUGUCUUUAGAAUUUUACCACGAGAACUGCAACUGUCCUCAAAAGAACCACAGUAUUUGGAGCAAGGCGAUGGACUGUCCAGCAACUUACAAGCAGAUAGACACAG